RNAcentral lists this ribosomal RNA (426 nucleotides) under uncultured bacterium. RNAcentral describes it as "bacterial SSU rRNA". It matches the Rfam family "Bacterial small subunit ribosomal RNA", at positions 355 to 776 of the family's 1533-position model. The record is from RNAcentral.
UCGAGAAUCUUCGGCAAUGGGCGCAAGCCUGACCGAGCGACGCCGCGUGCGGGAUGAAGGCCUUCGGGUUGUAAACCGCUGUCAGAGGGGAGGAAAUCCGCAGGAGCAAUCUCCGGCGGUUGACCGAGCCUCAGAGGAAGCACGGGCUAAGUUCGUGCCAGCAGCCGCGGUAAUACGAACUGUGCGAACGUUAUUCGGAAUCACUGGGCUUAAAGGGUGCGUAGGCGGCCUGUUAAGCAGGGUGUGAAAUGCCGGGGCUCAACCCCGGCAUGGCGCCCUGAACUGGCGGGCUGGAGUGAGCCAGGGGUGUGUGGAACUUCCGGUGGAGCGGUGAAAUGUGUUGAGAUCGGAAGGAACACCGGUGGCGAAAGCGACACACUGGGGCUUAACUGACGCUGAGGCACGAAAGCCAGGGGAGCGAACGGG